GUUCCCAUUCCGAACACAGAAGUUAAGCUUGUCAGGGCCCAAAGUAGUUACAGGAACGCCUGUUGCAAGGUUAGGUCGAUGCGAUGC
Molecule: ribosomal RNA, 87 nt
Filed under: Oenococcus oeni
Lineage: Bacteria; Bacillati; Bacillota; Bacilli; Lactobacillales; Lactobacillaceae
Source: RNAcentral